AGUCUUAUAGUAUAAAUAAAAUAUUUUAAAUUGCAAAUUUAAAGAUGGAUUUCCUAAGGCUU
This 62-nucleotide transfer RNA is filed under the name Anoplotrupes stercorosus. Its description in RNAcentral is "tRNA-Cys". Lineage: Eukaryota; Metazoa; Arthropoda; Insecta; Coleoptera; Geotrupidae. The record is from RNAcentral.